CGUCUCUUCAUGGUAAAAAGUCCCUUUUUUCACACAAUAAUUUCUUUGAAAAUUUAAUACUUUGAAUACAUAUAAUAACUCCAUAGUUUUUACACAUUUAUUCUAAGGUCCUAUACUUUCCAGAUCAACACAAAUGGUUAAGCUCAGUCACUUGUUAAAAAUUGAAACAUGUCCAAUAUCACUACACAGAGGUUUUUUGUUUACA
This 205-nucleotide long non-coding RNA is filed under the name Mytilus galloprovincialis (Mediterranean mussel). The record is from RNAcentral. Lineage: Eukaryota; Metazoa; Mollusca; Bivalvia; Mytilida; Mytilidae.